UAUGCGAUAACUGGUGUGAAUUGCAGAAUCCCGUGAACCAUCGAGUCUUUGAACGCAAGUUGCGCCCGAAGCCACUAGGCUGAGGGCACGUCUGCCUGGGUGUCA
The sequence is a ribosomal RNA, 105 nucleotides long. It matches the Rfam family "5.8S ribosomal RNA", at positions 52 to 154 of the family's 154-position model. From Rfam's summary of the family: 5.8S ribosomal RNA (5.8S rRNA) is a component of the large subunit of the eukaryotic ribosome. It is transcribed by RNA polymerase I as part of the 45S precursor that also contains 18S and 28S rRNA.